AGAGUUUGAUCAUGGCUCAGAUUGAACGCUGGCGGCAUGCUUUACACAUGCAAGUCGAACGGCAGCAUGGGUGCUUGCACCUGAUGGCGAGUGGCGAACGGGUGAGUAACAUAUCGGAACAUGUCCCGGAAGUGGGGGAUAACGUAGCGAAAGUUACGCUAAUACCGCAUAUGCCCUGAGGGGGAAAGGUGGGGAUCGCAAGACCUAUCGCUUUCGGAGUGGCCGAUAUCAGAUUAGCUAGUUGGUGGGGUAAAGGCCUACCAAGGCGACGAUCUGUAGCUGGUCUGAGAGGACGACCAGCCACACUGGGACUGAGACACGGCCCAGACUCCUACGGGAGGCAGCAGUGGGGAAUUUUGGACAAUGGGCGCAAGCCUGAUCCAGCCAUGCCGCGUGAGUGAAGAAGGCCUUCGGGUUGUAAAGCUCUUUCAGACGGAAAGAAAUUGCCAUUUCUAAUACAAGUGGUAGAUGACGGUACCGUCAGAAGAAGCACCGGCUAACUACGUGCCAGCAGCCGCGGUAAUACGUAGGGUGCGAGCGUUAAUCGGAAUUACUGGGCGUAAAGCGUGCGCAGGCGGUUUUGUAAGACAGAUGUGAAAUCCCCGGGCUUAACCUGGGAACUGCAUUUGUGACUGCAAGGCUAGAGUAUGGCAGAGGGGGGUAGAAUUCCCGUGUAGCAGUGAAAUGCGUAGAGAUGUGGAGGAAUACCGAUGGCGAAGGCAGCCCCCUGGGUCAAUACUGACGCUCAUGCACGAAAGCGUGGGGAGCAAACAGGAUUAGAUACCCUAGUAGUCC
RNAcentral lists this ribosomal RNA (795 nucleotides) under uncultured bacterium. RNAcentral's name for it is "bacterial SSU rRNA". It matches the Rfam family "Bacterial small subunit ribosomal RNA", at positions 8 to 796 of the family's 1533-position model. The record is from RNAcentral.